RNAcentral lists this ribosomal RNA (253 nucleotides) under uncultured bacterium. Its description in RNAcentral is "partial 16S ribosomal RNA". It matches the Rfam family "Bacterial small subunit ribosomal RNA", at positions 524 to 776 of the family's 1533-position model. The record is from RNAcentral.
UACGUAGGGGGCAAGCGUUGUCCGGAAUCAUUGGGCGUAAAGCGCGUGUAGGCGGCCACGUUAGUCCGCUCUGAAAGCCCGGGGCUCAACCCCGGGAGGCGGGUGGAUACUGCGUGGCUCGAGUCCGGAAGAGGCGAGUGGAAUUCCUGGUGUAGCGGUGAAAUGCGCAGAUAUCAGGAGGAACACCAAUGGCGAAGGCAGCUCGCUGGGACGUGACUGACGCUGAGACGCGACAGCGUGGGGAGCAAACAGG